GGAAGGAUCAUUAAAACGUAUCCAAACGUAAAAAACCCCCCCGUGAACUUUCAACCCUGCUCCUUCGCCUCUGUGAGUCAGCAAUCCCUGGUAAAUCAUUUGGAGAAAAGCUUUUGAUUCAGGGACUACUGAGAUUCCUACCUCGCGUCGUAUAGAUUGGUAUCCAACCCAACGUAGCGGUAGAUUCAUUGCGACUUGUUUUCCCCAAGCAGUUAUUGAAUGAAAGUGUCAUUAAUUGUGCAAGGAGAACGCUUUACGGCUGCUGGAGUCCGAACACCGGACGGCGGACAAGUCCCACGCCUUAACCGGCCCUAAUAACCCCGUUUGUUCCGCGGCGUAGCUUGGACUAACGUUCAAGAAAGCGCACCCCAAAAACUUAUACGACUGUUAACAAUGGAUAUCUUGGUUCUCGCAACGAUGAAGAACGCAGCGAAAUGCGAUACGUAAUGCGAAUUGCAGAAUUCAGUGAAUCAUCGAAUCUUUGAACGCAAAUUGCGCUCUCGGGUUACCCCAAGAGCACACCUCUCUGAGUGUCGGUUUAACCAAAUGUCACCAAUUUAUUGGUGUACGACUUUUCUGAGGGUAAGGAGUCUCGGCUUCUUUCCCUUUAAAUCUCAGCCGCACGACUGUGUGUGUUCGUGGCAAGUUGGUUUCGCUUAAUUGUGAAUUCAAUCCACCAACCCUACGUUGUGUAGCCCAAUGAAACAACUAAACACUGUCAGUGAAGUUAGGAACGCGUUUUCUGAAGGUCCGUGGUAUGCCCAGGCAUGUGAACAAAGUGUUCUGAAAGUGUUCUCUUUGGUUGCAGCCGAAGCGCAUCAACCUGGUCGGAGUUUUACUUUUGUAGCAACCAGAAGGAAAAACAAAUGCAAUGGUCACGGAGUUGUGAAAGUGUUCUCCUGGAUCAAUGCAGAAGUUUCCCGUUUGAUCGUUAUGAACGUUCGACACUGAACGGGAAGGUAUGCUGAAGCAAAUGCAUUAAGUAACCCAGUCAUCAGUUAGCGGUGGUCUUAAUGGAACCGCUUUGUGAAAAUUAUGAAUUAGACCUCAGAUGAAGUGGGAAGACCCCCUGAAUUUAAGCAUAUUAUUAAGGGGAGGAAAAGAAACUAACAAGGAUUCCCCUAGUAAUCUGCUGGUUCCCUC
RNAcentral lists this unclassified non-coding RNA (1143 nucleotides) under uncultured fungus. Its description in RNAcentral is "sequence contains 18S rRNA gene, ITS1, 5.8S rRNA gene, ITS2, 28S rRNA gene". The stretch from base 383 to 536 matches the Rfam family "5.8S ribosomal RNA". The record is from RNAcentral. Lineage: Eukaryota; Fungi.